UACGAAGGGUGCGAGCGUUAUUCGGAAUUAUUGGGCGUAAAGGGUUCGUAGGUUGAAAUAUAAGUCACAUGUGAAAACACCGAGCUUAACUUGGUACGUGCGUGUGAAACUGUAUUUCUUGAGAUUUGGAGAGGGUAGUGGAAUUGUUGGUGUAGGAGUGACAUCCGUAGAGAUCAGCAGGAACAUCAGAGGCGAAGGCGACUACCUGGCCAGAGACUGACACUGAGGAACGAAAGCGUGGGGAGCAAACAGG
This 253-nucleotide ribosomal RNA is filed under the name uncultured bacterium. Its description in RNAcentral is "partial 16S ribosomal RNA". It matches the Rfam family "Bacterial small subunit ribosomal RNA", at positions 524 to 776 of the family's 1533-position model. The record is from RNAcentral.